ACGGAAGGCAGCAGUGGGGGAUAUUGCACAAUGGGGGAAACCCUGAUGCAGCGACGCCGCGUGAGUGAAGAAGUAUUUCGGUAUGUAAAGCUCUAUCAGCAGGGAAGAAAAUGACGGUACCUGACUAAGAAGCUCCGGCUAAAUACGUGCCAGCAGCCGCGGUAAUACGUAUGGAGCAAGCGUUAUCCGGAUUUACUGGGUGUAAAGGGAGCGUAGACGGAACAGCAAGUCUGAUGUGAAAGGCAGGGGCUCAACUCCUGGACUGCAUUGGAAACUGUUGAUCUUGAGUGCCGGAGAGGUAAGCGGAAUUCCUAGUGUAGCGGUGAAAUGCGUAGAUAUUAGGAGGAACACCAGUGGCGAAGGCGGCUUGCUGGACGACAACUGACGCUGAGGCGCGAAAGCGUGGGGAGCAAACAGGAUUAGAUACCCUGGU
RNAcentral lists this ribosomal RNA (433 nucleotides) under uncultured Clostridium sp. RNAcentral describes it as "partial 16S ribosomal RNA". It matches the Rfam family "Bacterial small subunit ribosomal RNA", at positions 341 to 791 of the family's 1533-position model. The record is from RNAcentral. Lineage: Bacteria; Bacillati; Bacillota; Clostridia; Eubacteriales; Clostridiaceae.